GUGGGGAAUAUUGGACAAUGGGGGGAACCCUGAUCCAGCCAUGCCGCGUGUGUGAAGAAGGCCUUUUGGUUGUAAAGCACUUUAAGCGAGGAGGAGGCUACCGAGAUUAAUACUCUUGGAUAGUGGACGUUACUCGCAGAAUAAGCACCGGCUAACUCUGUGCCAGCAGCCGCGGUAAUACAGAGGGUGCAAGCGUUAAUCGGAUUUACUGGGCGUAAAGCGCGCGUAGGUGGCCAAUUAAGUCAAAUGUGAAAUCCCCGAGCUUAACUUGGUAAUUGCAUUCGAUACUGGUUGGCUAGAGUAUGGGAGAGGAUGGUAGAAUUCCAGGUGUAGCGGUGAAAUGCGUAGAGAUCUGGAGGAAUACCGAUGGCGAAGGCAGCCAUCUGGCCUAAUACUGACACUGAGGUGCGAAAGCAUGGGGAGCAAACAGGAUUAGAAACCCGGGAGUCC
This 450-nucleotide ribosomal RNA is filed under the name uncultured bacterium. RNAcentral's name for it is "partial 16S ribosomal RNA". It matches the Rfam family "Bacterial small subunit ribosomal RNA", at positions 354 to 796 of the family's 1533-position model. The record is from RNAcentral.